This 247-nucleotide ribosomal RNA is filed under the name uncultured bacterium. RNAcentral describes it as "partial 16S ribosomal RNA". It matches the Rfam family "Bacterial small subunit ribosomal RNA", at positions 67 to 334 of the family's 1533-position model. The record is from RNAcentral.
CGCACUCUUUUAGUAGUGAGCGGCAAACGGGUGAGUAACGCGUGGGAAGUCUACCCAUUUCUACGGAAUAACACAGAGAAAUUUGUUGCUAAUACCGUAUACGUCCCUUUUGGGUAGAAAGACUUAUCGGAGAUGGAUGAGCCCGCCGUUGGAUUAGCUAGUUGGUGAGGUAACGGCUCACCAAGGCGACGAUCCAUAGCUGGUCUGAGAGGAUGAUCAGCCACACUGGGACUGAGACACGGCCCAG